RNAcentral lists this ribosomal RNA (406 nucleotides) under uncultured bacterium. RNAcentral's name for it is "partial 16S ribosomal RNA". It matches the Rfam family "Bacterial small subunit ribosomal RNA", at positions 30 to 526 of the family's 1533-position model. The record is from RNAcentral.
AUUGAACGCUAGCGGCAGGCCUAACACAUGCAAGUCGAACGAGUGGCGGACGGGUGAGUAAUGUCUGGGAAACUGCCCGAUGGAGGGGGAUAACUACUGGAAACGGUAGCUAAUACCGCAUACCAUCGGAGGUGCCCAGAUUGGAUUAGCUAGUUGGUGGGGUAACGGCUCACCUAGGCAACGAUCCCUAGCUAGUCUGAGAGGAUGACCAGCCACACUGGGACUGAGACACGGUCCAGACUCCUACGGGAGGCAGCAGUGGGGAAUAUUGCACAAUGGGCGAAAGCCUGAUGCAGCCAUGCCGCGUGUAUGAAGAAGGCCUUCGGGUUGUAAAGUACUUUCAGCGGGGAGGCGUUACCCGCAGAAGAAGCACCGGCUAACUCCGUGCCAGCAGCCGCGGUAAUAC